This 203-nucleotide long non-coding RNA is filed under the name Elaeis guineensis (African oil palm). RNAcentral describes it as "long non-coding RNA (EGUI_LNC065098)". Lineage: Eukaryota; Viridiplantae; Streptophyta; Magnoliopsida; Arecales; Arecaceae. The record is from RNAcentral.
ACAGGUGGUUCAAAUCAAAUGGAAGUGAGGGAAAAAUCAUGUAUGAGAGGGAGGCUCAUACCACAUGGAAGGGGGGCCGUCCGGAGCUCAAAAGGCAACAGAGGCAGAGAUAGAAUGCCAACCAUGUGACCAGCUGCCGAGAGCUUUGCACUUUGCCCUCCAUCCCUCCCUUUUUAUUUCCUUUUCUUCUUCUGUAUCACAUG